UACUCAAGCUCCUCGUAUGGGACUUUGGCAAAUAUUUCAUUUGGCAAGAACUUUGGACUUAACUGGAGAUAGUAGGAAACUUGCACAACGCUGAGGACAGACUGACAGUCAAUUAUCAGCUGUUUUUUUCCUCCACAGAGUUUCUUUUGCACAUACAUUCUCCAUUCCAUCUCUGGACUUGAAAAGAACACCAUUUUUCCAGACAGUGAUUUCCUCCAAUAUCUCGUUUCUCGGUGUCUGCGUGUGUGUUUUUUAACAGGCGGACCCAUGGGCUUACAGUUUUGCAAGCCUUGCAGCUGGUGCCUACAAAGUAAGGAGGACUGCAGAGCUGCCGGCGGCUCCUUGUGUGUGCGGAGCGACGACUGGAGAUACUGCUCUGACCGCUGCUGUGACAUCUGCUGCCAGAUGUGUGUGAACGUAUGCUUUGGCGUGUGUUCAGGAAACUGCAGCUACACCUUCUGCACCCUCUGCCUCAGCCUGGCACAGAACUGUGCCUCUCUUAUUAACACCCAACAAACUGAAACAUCGGAAGCACAACAUCCUAUGAUGGCUCCAGAGCUGCAUGCAAAGUGAACAUGUGACCAACCCCUAAAGAUGCAAUAGAUUUAAAGCCGGAAGCUAAACCAGGUAAAUUAAACCGGCUGAGGAGCCCGAGCGAGCUUUGGACCGCUGUCUAAUGAGGACUGGGGAGGAGCAAAGAGACUUUGACAACAAGUGCAAGAAAGAGCUCUCUGCAGAGGGAAACUUUGUGGCUUUAAAGUUCAUGAAAUCUUUUGUGUAUAAAAAAAUAAUAAAUAGCAGGGGAUAGUAGUCAAAGAUUAUGUAUAAACACUAUAUAAAGGUCUGCCAGAUGUGUUA
Labrus mixtus (cuckoo wrasse) is the source of this 858-nucleotide long non-coding RNA. RefSeq lists it as uncharacterized. Lineage: Eukaryota; Metazoa; Chordata; Actinopteri; Labriformes; Labridae. The record is from RefSeq and is a predicted model, not a curated record. The transcript is spliced from 3 exons.